This 345-nucleotide unclassified non-coding RNA is filed under the name soil metagenome. RNAcentral's name for it is "partial contains 5.8S ribosomal RNA, internal transcribed spacer 2, and large subunit ribosomal RNA". The stretch from base 1 to 120 matches the Rfam family "5.8S ribosomal RNA", at positions 35 to 154 of the family's 154-position model. The record is from RNAcentral.
GAUGAAGAACGCAGCGAAAUGCGAUACGUAAUGUGAAUUGCAGAAUUCAGUGAAUCAUCGAGUCUUUGAACGCACAUUGCGCCCCCUGGUAUUCCGGGGGGCAUGCCUGUCCGAGCGUCAUUGCUGCCCUCAAGCACGGCUUGUGUGUUGGGCCUCCGUCCUCCUCCCGGGGGACGGGCCCGAAAGGCAGCGGCGGCACCGCGUCCGGUCCUCGAGCGUAUGGGGCUUCGUCACCCGCUCUUGUAGGCCCGGCCGGCGCUUGCCAACACAUCAAUCUUUUUUCCAGGUUGACCUCGGAUCAGGUAGGGAUACCCGCUGAACUUAAGCAUAUCAAUAAGCGGAGGA